CCUACGGGUGGCAGCAGUGGGGGAUAUUGGGCAAUGGGCGCAAGCCUGACGCAGCGACGCCGCGUGGGUGAAGAAGCCCUUCGGGUUGUAAACUUCUUUUGACAGGGAAGAGUAGAAGACGGUACCUGUCGAAUAAGCCACGGCUAACUACGUGCCAGCAGCCGCGGGAAUACGUAGGUGGCAAGCGUUGUCCGGAUUUACUGGGUGUAAAGGGCGUGUAGCCGGGUUGAAAAGUCAGAUGUGAAAUCCUGCGGCUUAACCGCAGAACUGCAUUUGACACUGUGGAUCUGGAGGACUGGAGGGGCAGACGGAAUUCCUGGUGUAGCGGUGAAAUGCGUAGAUAUGAGGAGGAACACCAGUGGCGAAGGCGGUCUGCUGGACAGCAACUGACGGUGAGGCGCGAAAGCGUGGGGAGCAAACAGGAUUAGAUACCCGAGUAGUC
RNAcentral lists this ribosomal RNA (442 nucleotides) under uncultured bacterium. RNAcentral's name for it is "partial 16S ribosomal RNA". It matches the Rfam family "Bacterial small subunit ribosomal RNA", at positions 338 to 795 of the family's 1533-position model. The record is from RNAcentral.